GACGAACGCUGGCGGCGUGCUUAACACAUGCAAGUCGAACGGAAAGGCCCAGCUUUUGUGGGGUGCUCGAAUGGCGAACGGGUGAGUAACACGUGAGUAACCUGCCCUUGACGUUGGGAUAACUUCAGGAAACUGGGGCGAAUACCGGAUAGGAGCUCCUGCUGCAUUGUGGGGGUUGUAAAGUUUCGGCGGUUGGGUAUGGACUCGCGGCUUAUCAGCUUGUUGGUGGGGUAGUGGCUUACCAAGGCUUUGACGGGUAGCCGGCCUGAGAGGGUGACCGGACACAUCGGGACUGAGAUACGGCCCAGACUCAUAUGGGAGGCAGCAGUGCAGAAUAUUGCACAAUGGGAGGAAGCCUGAUGCAGCAACGCCGCGUGCGGGAUGACGGCAUUCGGGUUGUAACCCGAUUUCGCCUGUGACGAAGAGAGAGUGACGGUAAUGGGUAAAGAAGCCCCGGCUAAAUACGUG
This 468-nucleotide ribosomal RNA is filed under the name uncultured bacterium. RNAcentral describes it as "partial 16S ribosomal RNA". It matches the Rfam family "Bacterial small subunit ribosomal RNA", at positions 28 to 507 of the family's 1533-position model. The record is from RNAcentral.